This 72-nucleotide transfer RNA is filed under the name Marmota marmota marmota (Alpine marmot). It matches the Rfam family "tRNA". From Rfam's summary of the family: Transfer RNA (tRNA) molecules are approximately 80 nucleotides in length. Their secondary structure includes four short double-helical elements and three loops (D, anti-codon, and T loops). RNAcentral also lists the same sequence under 1 other name. The record is from Rfam by way of RNAcentral. Lineage: Eukaryota; Metazoa; Chordata; Mammalia; Rodentia; Sciuridae.
UGGGUUGUGGCUCAGUGGUAGAGUGCUUAUCUAGCAUGUAUGAGGCACUGGUUUCGAUCCUCAGCACCACAU